Molecule: long non-coding RNA, 149 nt
Organism: Triticum dicoccoides
Lineage: Eukaryota; Viridiplantae; Streptophyta; Magnoliopsida; Poales; Poaceae
Exons: 3
Source: RefSeq, a predicted model, not a curated record
UUGAUUGCAAUUAAACUCGGCUCAAUCUUUUUUUUCUAAAAAAGAUUGAGCCGAAUAAAAAUAGAUCAUGAUAUGAUCAUGAGACUUGACAAAUUGAGAUUCGUCUAUUCUAUAUAUCUAGAAUAUAUAUAUUAAGGAGAUCGGAAGAG